CACCUACUCUCAUCACAUUUGGAAAAUGGUGGGUAUUCUGCCUAUUUAGGAGAUGGGAGGGAGAGCAAGCCUGGUAGAGGUACCCAUCCCACUCCCAGGUUGCCAGUUGCUUGCAACUGGAAGAUACUCUGUAACAGUA
RNAcentral lists this small nucleolar RNA (139 nucleotides) under Erinaceus europaeus (western European hedgehog). The record is from RNAcentral. Lineage: Eukaryota; Metazoa; Chordata; Mammalia; Eulipotyphla; Erinaceidae.